GCACUGCUGAGGAGUCCUACAGUAGGACGAAAUGGCCAUCCAGUAC
Non-coding RNA from Schistosoma margrebowiei, 46 nucleotides. The record is from Rfam. Lineage: Eukaryota; Metazoa; Platyhelminthes; Trematoda; Strigeidida; Schistosomatidae.